AUUGAACGCUGGCGGCAUGCUUUACACAUGCAAGUCGAACGAGUGGCGACGGGGGGAGUAAUAUAUCGGAACGUACCGAUUGAUGGGGGAAACCCAAUCGAAAGAUUGGCUAAUACCGCAUAUUAUGGGAGCGGCCGAUACCUGAUUAGCUAGUUGGUGGGGUAAAGGCCUACCAAGGCGACGAUCAGAAGCGGGUCUGAGAGGACGAUCCGCCACACUGGGACUGAGACACGGCCCAGACUCCUACGGGAGGCAGCAGUGGGGAAUUUUGGACAAUGGGGGCAACCCUGAUCCAGCCAUGCCGCGUGUAUGAAGAAGGCCUUCGGGUUGUAAAGUACUUUUGUUAGGGAAGCGGUACCUAAAGAAUAAGCACCGGCUAACUACGUGCCAGCCGCCGCGGUAAUAC
This 406-nucleotide ribosomal RNA is filed under the name uncultured bacterium. RNAcentral describes it as "partial 16S ribosomal RNA". It matches the Rfam family "Bacterial small subunit ribosomal RNA", at positions 30 to 526 of the family's 1533-position model. The record is from RNAcentral.